GACGAACGCUGGCGGCGUGCUUAACACAUGCAAGUCGAACGGAAAGGCCCUGCUUUUGUGGGGUGCUCGAGUGGCGAACGGGUGAGUAACACGUGAGUAACCUGCCCUUGACUUUGGGAUAACUUCAGGAAACUGGGGCUAAUACCGGAUAGGAGCUCCUGCUGCAUGGUGGGGGUUGGAAAGUUUCGGCGGUUGGGGAUGGACUCGCGGCUUAUCAGCGUGUUGGUGGGGUAGUGGCUUACCAAGGCUUUGACGGGUAGCCGGCCUGAGAGGGUGACCGGCCACAUUGGGACUGAGAUACGGCCCAGACUCCUACGGGAGGCAGCAGUGGGGAAUAUUGCACAAUGGGCGGAAGCCUGAUGCAACAACGCCGCGUGCGGGAUGACGGCCUUCGGGUUGUAAACCGCUUUCGCCUGUGACGAAGCGUGAGUGACGGUAAUGGGUAAAGAAGCACCGGCUAACUACGUG
This 468-nucleotide ribosomal RNA is filed under the name uncultured bacterium. RNAcentral's name for it is "partial 16S ribosomal RNA". It matches the Rfam family "Bacterial small subunit ribosomal RNA", at positions 28 to 507 of the family's 1533-position model. The record is from RNAcentral.